RNAcentral lists this ribosomal RNA (254 nucleotides) under uncultured bacterium. Its description in RNAcentral is "partial 16S ribosomal RNA". It matches the Rfam family "Bacterial small subunit ribosomal RNA", at positions 524 to 776 of the family's 1533-position model. The record is from RNAcentral.
UACGUAGGGUGCAAGCGUUAAUCGGAAUUACUGGGCGUAAAGCGUGCGCAGGCGGUGAUGUAAGACCGAUGUGAAAUCCCCGGGCUUAACCUGGGAACUGCAUUUGUGACUGGCGGGCUAGAGUAUGGCAGAGGGGGGGUAGAAUUCCACGUGUAGCAGUGAAAUGCGUAGAGAUGUGGAGGAAUACCGAUGGCGAAGGCAGCCCCCUGGGCCAAUACUGACGCUCAUGCACAAAAGCGUGGGGAGCAAACAGG